UGUGGGGGGAUUAGUGGCGAACGGGUGAGUAACACGUGAGUAACCUGCCCUUAACUCUGGGAUAAGCCUGGGAAACUGGGUCUAAUACCGGAUAUGACUCCUCAUCGCAUGGUGGGGGGUGGAAAGCUUUAUUGUGGUUUUGGAUGGACUCGCGGCCUAUCAGCUUGUUGGUGAGGUAAUGGCUCACCAAGGCGACGACGGGUAGCCGGCCUGAGAGGGUGACCGGCCACACUGGGACUGAGACACGGCCCAGACUCCUACGGGAGGCAGCAGUGGGGAAUAUUGCACAAUGGGCGAAAGCCUGAUGCAGCGACGCCGCGUGAGGGAUGACGGCCUUCGGGUUGUAAACCUCUUUCAGUAGGGAAGAAGCGAAAGUGACGGUACCUGCAGAAGAAGCGCCGGCUAACUACGUGCCAGCAGCCGCGGUAAUACGUAGGGCGCAAGCGUUAUCCGGAAUUAUUGGGCGUAAAGAGCUCGUAGGCGGUUUGUCGCGUCUGCCGUGAAAGUCCGGGGCUCAACUCCGGAUCUGCGGUGGGUACGGGCAGACUAGAGUGAUGUAGGGGAGACUGGAAUUCCUGGUGUAGCGGUGAAAUGCGCAGAUAUCAGGAGGAACACCGAUGGCGAAGGCAGGUCUCU
RNAcentral lists this ribosomal RNA (636 nucleotides) under Arthrobacter sp. N34. Its description in RNAcentral is "bacterial SSU rRNA". It matches the Rfam family "Bacterial small subunit ribosomal RNA", at positions 82 to 730 of the family's 1533-position model. Lineage: Bacteria; Bacillati; Actinomycetota; Actinomycetes; Micrococcales; Micrococcaceae. The record is from RNAcentral.